Molecule: ribosomal RNA, 501 nt
Filed under: uncultured bacterium
Lineage: Bacteria
Description: partial 16S ribosomal RNA
Rfam family: Bacterial small subunit ribosomal RNA
Source: RNAcentral
GAUGAACGCUAGCGACAGGCUUAACACAUGCAAGUCGAGGGGCAGCAUGAGGUAGCAAUACCUUGAUGGCGACCGGCGCACGGGUGAGUAACGCGUAUGCAACCUGCCCGAUACCGGGGUAUAGCCCAUGGAAACGUGGAUUAACACCCCAUAGUACUUUUAUCCUGCCUGGGAUGGGAGGUAAAUGUUCAAGGUAUCGGAUGGGCAUGCGUCCUAUUAGUUAGUUGGCAGGGUAACAGCCCACCAAGACGAUGAUAGGUAGGGGUUCUGAGAGGAAGGUCACCCACAUUGGAACUGAGACACGGUCCAAACUCCUACGGGAGGCAGCAGUGAGGAAUAUUGGUCAAUGGACGAGAGUCUGAACCAGCCAAGUCGCGUGAGGGAAGACUGCCCUAUGGGUUGUAAACCUCUUUUAUAAGGGAAGAAUAAGUUCUACGUGUAGAAUGAUGCCUGUACCUUAUGAAUAAGCAUCGGCUAACUCCGUGCCAGCAGCCGCGGUAA